This 1400-nucleotide long non-coding RNA is filed under the name Panax ginseng (ginseng). RNAcentral's name for it is "long non-coding RNA (PGIN_LNC007091)". Lineage: Eukaryota; Viridiplantae; Streptophyta; Magnoliopsida; Apiales; Araliaceae. The record is from RNAcentral.
GCCAUACUAAUCUUUUGAGGUUAAAAAUCUAGUGUAAAUAAAUAGCAAGGCAGACAACAUUAUGUGCUAGCCUUAUUACUUGAAGAAUGGCAGAAGCUACUUGCUUGCUAGUGUCUUGCUGUGUUUGGCAGACAAGGAAUGUGUGUUCCACUUGAAUUAUAAUGUCGAGACCAGCAGAUAGCGGUGGGCACGUACAAUGAAGGUCCUUUUCUAAAAUCACUGCAGAUCAGGAAGUGGAGCAAGCUGUCUCUUGGCCUUGAAAAUCUUUGUAAUCUGUUGACAAAUCAAAAUACACAAUUAAAAUCUCUUUGGCAGAUAUAAUCCACAUCUUUCAACUACCAACCAUAGUGAGGCAAUCAAUUCACAGGAAAACAAAAUGAAUAAUUUUUGUAGUGCUAGACGACUAGAUGAGAAUCAUAGAACACCUAAAUUAUUAUGGAAUUCACAUCAAAAUUAUCUCCCAGCUACUCACAAUUCUUAAGAACAGAAAGAAUUGAAACGCGUAAGAACAAAAGAAGUUGAGGUCAUAACAUUUGAUCUCACAAACUUCAACUACCUAGUUUACUUGUAACAAGUAAUCACGUUUAAAAUCAAUUUUGUAAAUGCAUAUGAAACAAUCAAUACAUCUAAAACUCUCAGAAAAGCAAAUUUACUAGAUUUACUCUCGUAAUAUCAUUGAAAUUACACAUCUCGAAUUACAAAAUAAAUUAACAGAAUUUUUUACAACCUACUGUUUCCUUCAUGGCAGUGCUGAGAAACCCUUGGACAUUGAUCAUUGCCUGCAUGAAUUUGGAUCAGUGGAAUACCACAUCCAGGUAAAACCUUGUGUAAUUUAGAUUUAUAAGAGAAUGAUAUACAUUAGUUAAUCUAUGGUUUAAUGAUUGCCUACUUUGUAUUUUCAUGGAAGAAAUUUAACCAUGGAGUAUUCUAUCACUUCAAAUCUUAAGUGUGAUUCUUUCUGCAUCAUAGUUGCAGCCAAUUAAAGCUGUUAAAUUUGAUUAUAAAGUUAUAAUGAACAAAGUAGGGAAGCCAAUUGACAAGAUCUAAGAGAAGAAUGAGCAACUUCAAAACUAAAGAGUAUAGAAGAGGUUUUCAUACUGUUGAUGAAAAAGCAACCAUAUUUGAAUUGUUCUAACAAACUUAUUACAAUGGUAAUCAGUUUUCUGCAUCAGAUCAACAGCAUACUUGUCGAUAUCAACUCCACUUCUAUCUCAAGGGAUCCUACUUUCAUAUGGACUUCCACGCGACACUACUGAGAUGCUUAAAGGAAUUUGUUCUGAUGUUGUGGAACUAGUAGAACCUGCAAAAGAAGGAUAUCAGCUGACUCUAAGACUUAACCUUGCUAGAAUUCCCCGCAGGAAAGGUUGGUAUCCUUCACAUUACAUUGUGAUCUACCAGAA